GUUGUACCAACUGAUUGGAUGAAAAUCAAAAUUUUUUUGAUAUUUUGUCAAGUUGGAUCGUGUUUGGGUUGGUCGUGCGAUUUCAAACGUUUUCGCCAUUUUAUUUCGGCUGUCGAAGAGAGCGCGUCAUUUAUAAUAAGUAAAGCAACAACUUCCGAACUCAUGUUUAAGCAACGAAGUGAAUAUUCAAAAUGAAGUUGGCCUCAAAAUUGUGUCGUAUGUAGCAACAAGAGCAAUUUCGAGCAAUUUCUAGUCUCACAACCAACUAAUUGUUGCGUGUAUGCCUUCCAUUACAUCCGUGCACGGAUCGGCAAACAUACGAAAGAAAAUUACGUGAUACGUCAAUCGUAUCGGAGAUUGGCAUUAUGACAUACAAUAGCAAACGGAUCGUAAUGUAGUUUUUAAAUUUCACAUUGCUUUGGAUCGUAGUUUUAGGUCAAAAUAGAUAUGGAAUUGUCAAAACUGUAGCGAAAUUUUCAAUAAACUAACAAAAGCUAAUUAAGUCUCAAAAUGGAUCCAACUUUGUUUUUUUUAUUUGAGCUGUUGUGAAAGUGAUGGGGAUAAAAAAUAAUGUAUCGUUGAACAAAGCGUUGCAACCUUAAAAAGACGGUGGAGAAUUUUAGGAUAUGGCAAGAGAGGAAGGUAUCAUCUCACAAAAGUGGAAGAUUUGCUAACAUUUGUGCAGCAUUACAUAACAUCUGCAUAAAAUUUGCAAUAAGUUACGACCCUCAACAUUGCGAUUCUUAUCACACACAAAAAUGGACAACGGGGUAGCGAACCGCUUCACCGCAAUCGACCAAACGAUAAGAGACCAAAUAAGAACAACUGGACAUAUAUCAACCAUACCACUAAAACAACGUAGAACAGUAAAUUCUGAGUGGUACACAAUCAUUUGUUUGCCAGUUAUCUUUCAAGAAAAAAAAAACGAAUGCCGAGAACGGAUCACUUUUCACCGCGAUAAUGCGUGCUCUCAAACAUCGACUGAAACAAUUGCAUUUUUGAGAAUUCAAACUUUCAAUUUGAUGAGUCAUCCACCGUAUAGCCCUGGCGUGGGACCAAAUGAUUUCCGUACGUAGGAGAUAAACUAAUAGGUCGACGUUUUUCGACACUUGAUGAGGCGGUUGAUGCCUUCAGAAUGCAUGUUUUGGAGAUACCUCAAUCAGAGUAACAAAAAUGCAUCGAAAAUUGGUUCAAACGCAUGAAAAGUAUAUACAUACAUAGACCUUAAGGGAGAAUAUUUAAUACGACUUCAAUUAUGCUAGUUCAAUAAUUCAUCUACAUUUUAUAUAAAUAAAAAUGAAUCGCCAAAAUGUA
Long non-coding RNA from Bactrocera neohumeralis, 1314 nucleotides. RefSeq lists it as uncharacterized. The transcript has 3 exons. NCBI's taxonomy places the organism in Eukaryota, Metazoa, Arthropoda, Insecta, Diptera, Tephritidae. The record is from RefSeq and is a predicted model, not a curated record.